AUAUGCUCUUGCUUAUUUUUGUAAAAACAUUUUGUAGAGACAGAGUCUCUCUAUGUUGCCCAGUCUGGUCUUGAACUCUUGGCUUCCAGUGAUCCUCCCACCUUGGCACCCCCCAAAGCUCUGGGAUUACAGGCAUGAGCCAUCACACCUGGCUAUGAAAUUCUUGAGACUAAAGAAAUAUGAUACUACGUGGGAACUUGGAGCUACAUAAAGGAAAGCAGAGUGGAGGAAAUGAUAAAUGUAUUUAUGGAAUUUUUAAAAAUUUAAACAUUUUAUUAAAAGAUAAUUCACUAUUUAAAGAUAACAACUUUUCAUGAUGCUUAUAACAUUAUGACCACAAUAGCACAAAAGAUGGAAGGGUAAAUAGAAGCAUGUUGUUGUAAGAUCUUAUACAUGAAGUGGUGUAAUAUUGUCUGAAUGUAGGCUGUGGUAGGGUAAAUAUGCAUAUGCAAAACAAGAAGCAACAGAACAAAACAUGUCCAAAUAAGUGCAGUAAAAAACCUCAAAUAACAGGAGGUAAAAUGGAAUACUGAAAAAGCAAUCAAAUAAUUCAAAAGAAGUCAGGAAAAAGAAAAAAAGGAACAAUGAAGAACAACAACAAAAAAAGAAAAAAUGGAGGCUGGGCACCAGUGGCUCACACCUGUAAUCCCAGCACUAUGGGAGGCUGAGGUGGGUGGAUCACCUGAAGUCAGGAGUUCAAGACCAGUCUGGCCAACAUGGUGAAACCCCAUCUCAAAAAAAAAAAAAAAAAAAGAAAAAAGGCCAGAUGUGGGGGCUCACGCCUGUAAUCCCAGCACUUUGGGAGGCUGAGGUGGGCAGAUCAUGAGGUCAGGAGUUCAAGACCAGCCUGACCAAUAUGGCAAAACCCCGUCUUUACUAAAAAUGCAAAAAAAAUUUAGCCAGGCGUGGUGACGUAUGCCUGUAGUCCCAGCUACUCAGGAGGCAGAGGUAGAAGAAUCACUUGAACCUUGGAGGUGGAGGUUGCAGUGAGCCAAGAUCACGCCACUGCACUCCAGCGUGGGUAACAGAGUGAGACUCCGUCUCAAAAAAAUAAAAUAAGGAAAAAAAAAAGCAAAACAAACAAACAAAAAAAAAAAAGAAAAAAUGAGACACGUAGAAAACAAACAGCAAGACGAUAAACAUAAUCUAACCAUAUAGAUAAUUACAUUAAGUAUAAAUGGUCCAGAUAGUCUGGUAAAAACAGAGAUUAACUUUGUGCUAUCUAUGGAAGCCCACUUUAAAUAUAGAGGCACAGACGGUUUAAAAUUAAAAGGACAGUAGCUGGGCAUGGUGAUUCACACCUGUAUUCCUAGCACUUUGGGAGGCUGAAGUGAGAAGAUCACUUGAGCCCAGGAGUUUGAGACCAGCCUGGGCAACAUGGCAAAACCACAUAUCUACAAAAAAUACAAAAAAUUAGCUGGACAUGGUGGCACACACCUGUAGUCCCA
RNAcentral lists this long non-coding RNA (1448 nucleotides) under Homo sapiens (human). Its description in RNAcentral is "HSALNT0171953". Lineage: Eukaryota; Metazoa; Chordata; Mammalia; Primates; Hominidae. The record is from RNAcentral.